This 2880-nucleotide ribosomal RNA is filed under the name Stenotrophomonas maltophilia. RNAcentral's name for it is "23S ribosomal RNA". It matches the Rfam family "Bacterial large subunit ribosomal RNA". RNAcentral also lists the same sequence under 2 other names. The record is from RNAcentral. Lineage: Bacteria; Pseudomonadati; Pseudomonadota; Gammaproteobacteria; Lysobacterales; Lysobacteraceae.
GGUCAAGCGAAUAAGCGCACACGGUGGAUGCCUUGGCGGUCAGAGGCGAUGAAGGACGUGGCAGCCUGCGAAAAGUAUCGGGGAGCUGGCAACAAGCUUUGAUCCGGUAAUGUCCGAAUGGGGAAACCCACCCGCUUGCGGGUAUCCUGCAGUGAAUACAUAGCUGCUGGAAGCGAACCUGGUGAACUGAAAUAUCUAAGUAACCAGAGGAAAAGAAAUCAACCGAGAUUCCGUAAGUAGCGACGAGCGAACGCGGACUAGCCCUUAAGCUGAUUUGGUUCUAGGAAAACGCUCUGGAAAGAGCGGCCAUAGAAGGUGAUAGCCCUGUAUCUGAAAGGGCCAUUUCAGUGAAGACGAGUAGGGCGGGGCACGUGAAACCCUGUCUGAACAUGGGGGGACCAUCCUCCAAGGCUAAAUACUACUGACCGACCGAUAGUGAACCAGUACCGUGAGGGAAAGGCGAAAAGAACCCCGGAGAGGGGAGUGAAAUAGAACCUGAAACCGUGUGCGUACAAGCAGUAGGAGCUCCGCAAGGAGUGACUGCGUACCUUUUGUAUAAUGGGUCAGCGACUUACUGUUCGUGGCAAGCUUAACCGUAUAGGGGAGGCGAAGGGAAACCGAGUCUGAUAAGGGCGCAUAGUCGCGGGCAGUAGACCCGAAACCGGGUGAUCUAGUCAUGCCCAGGGUGAAGGUGCGGUAACACGCACUGGAGGCCCGAACCCACUCCCGUUGCAAAGGUAGGGGAUGAGGUGUGAUUAGGAGUGAAAAGCUAAUCGAACCCGGAGAUAGCUGGUUCUCCUCGAAAGCUAUUUAGGUAGCGCCUCAUAUGUAUCCUCUCGGGGGUAGAGCACUGUUAUGGCUAGGGGGUCAUCGCGACUUACCAAACCAUUGCAAACUCCGAAUACCGAGACGGACUGUAUGGGAGACACACGGCGGGUGCUAACGUCCGUCGUGAAAAGGGAAACAACCCAGACCCACAGCUAAGGUCCCAAAUUCACUGCUAAGUGGAAAACCAUGUGGAAAGGCACAGACAGCCAGGAGGUUGGCUUAGAAGCAGCCACCCUUUAAAGAAAGCGUAAUAGCUCACUGGUCGAGUCGGUCUGCGGGGAAGAUUUAACGGGGCUAAGCAGUGAACCGAAGCUUGGGGUGCAUAACUUUGUUAUGCGCGGUAGAGGAGCGUUCCGUAAGCCGUUGAAGGUGGAUUGAGAAGUCUGCUGGAGGUAUCGGAAGUGCGAAUGCUGACAUGAGUAACGAUAAUGCGGGUGAAAAACCCGCACGCCGAAAGCCCAAGGUUUCCUUGCGCAACGUUAAUCGGCGCAGGGUGAGUCGGCCCCUAAGGCGAGGACGAAAGUCGUAGUCGAUGGGAAGCAGGUUAAUAUUCCUGCACCUCGCGUAAGUGCGAUGGAGGGACGGAGAAGGUUAGGUGUACCAGGCGUUGGUUGUCCUGGGGAAAGGCGGUAGGUUUGGAUCUUUGGCAAAUCCGGGAUCCUUCAAGACCGAGCACCGAGACGAGCCUUUAUGGCAAAGUCACUGAUACCACGCUUCCAGGAAAAGCUCCUAAGCUUCAGCUUACGCAGACCGUACCGUAAACCGACACAGGUGGGUAGGAUGAGAAUUCUCAGGCGCUUGAGAGAACUCGGGUGAAGGAACUAGGCAACAUGGCACCGUAACUUCGGGAGAAGGUGCACCCUUUUUGGUGGCUCGUGCGAGCUAUAGCUGAAGAGGGUCGCAGUAACCAGGCCGCUGCGACUGUUUAUCAAAAACACAGCACUCUGCAAACACGAAAGUGGACGUAUAGGGUGUGACGCCUGCCCGGUGCUGGAAGGUUAAUUGAUGGGGUCAGCCGCAAGGCGAAGCUCUUGAUCGAAGCCCCAGUAAACGGCGGCCGUAACUAUAACGGUCCUAAGGUAGCGAAAUUCCUUGUCGGGUAAGUUCCGACCUGCACGAAUGGCGUAACGACAGCGGCGCUGUCUCCACCCGAGACUCAGUGAAAUUGAAAUCGCUGUGAAGAUGCAGCGUUCCCGUGGCAAGACGGAAAGACCCCGUGAACCUUUACUAUAGCUUUACACUGAACGUUGAGUUCGUCUGUGUAGGAUAGGUGGGAGGCUAUGAAACUGUGGCGCUAGCUGCAGUGGAGCCAUCCUUGAAAUACCACCCUGUCGUGCUUGACGUUCUAACCUGGGCCCAUUAUCUGGGUCGGGGACCGUGUAUGGUGGGUAGUUUGACUGGGGCGGUCUCCUCCUAAAGAGUAACGGAGGAGCUCGAAGGUACGCUCAGCGCGGUCGGACAUCGCGCACUGUGUGCAAAGGCAUAAGCGUGCUUGACUGCAAGAUCGACGGAUCAAGCAGGUAGGAAACUAGGACUUAGUGAUCCGGUGGUUCUGUAUGGAAGGGCCAUCGCUCAACGGAUAAAAGGUACUCCGGGGAUAACAGGCUGAUACCGCCCAAGAGUUCAUAUCGACGGCGGUGUUUGGCACCUCGAUGUCGGCUCAUCACAUCCUGGGGCUGUAGUCGGUCCCAAGGGUAUGGCUGUUCGCCAUUUAAAGUGGUACGCGAGCUGGGUUCAGAACGUCGUGAGACAGUUCGGUCCCUAUCUGCCAUGGGCGUUGGAGAUUUGAGAGGGGCUGCUCCUAGUACGAGAGGACCGGAGUGGACGAACCUCUGGUGUUCCGGUUGUCACGCCAGUGGCAUUGCCGGGUAGCUAUGUUCGGAAGCGAUAACCGCUGAAAGCAUCUAAGCGGGAAGCGCGCCUCAAGAUGAGAUCUCCCGGGGCACAAGCCCCCUGAAGGAACCAUGUAGACUACGUGGUUGAUAGGUCAGGUGUGUAAGUACAGCAAUGUAUUGAGCUAACUGAUACUAAUGAUCCGAGAGGCUUGACCAU